UCCCUGGUGGUCCAGUGGUUAAGACUCUGUGCUUCCAAUACAGGAGGCACAGGUUCAAUACCUGGUUGAGGGA
RNAcentral lists this transfer RNA (73 nucleotides) under Bos taurus (domestic cattle). It matches the Rfam family "tRNA". From Rfam's summary of the family: Transfer RNA (tRNA) molecules are approximately 80 nucleotides in length. Their secondary structure includes four short double-helical elements and three loops (D, anti-codon, and T loops). The record is from Rfam by way of RNAcentral. Lineage: Eukaryota; Metazoa; Chordata; Mammalia; Artiodactyla; Bovidae. RNAcentral also lists the same sequence under 3 other names.